This 401-nucleotide ribosomal RNA is filed under the name uncultured Hyphomicrobiales bacterium. RNAcentral's name for it is "bacterial SSU rRNA". It matches the Rfam family "Bacterial small subunit ribosomal RNA", at positions 356 to 774 of the family's 1533-position model. The record is from RNAcentral. Lineage: Bacteria; Pseudomonadati; Pseudomonadota; Alphaproteobacteria; Hyphomicrobiales.
GGGGAAUAUUGGACAAUGGGCGCAAGCCUGAUCCAGCCAUGCCGCGUGGAUGAUGAAGGCCUUAGGGUUGUAAAAUCCUUUCGACGGGGAAGAUAAUGACGGUACCCGUAGAAGAAGCCCCGGCUAACUUCGUGCCAGCAGCCGCGGUAAUACGAAGGGGGCUAGCGUUGCUCGGAAUCACUGGGCGUAAAGCGCACGUAGGCGGCUUUUUAAGUCAGAGGUGAAAUCCUGGAGCUCAACCCCAGAACUGCCUUUGAUACUGAGAAGCUUGAGUCCGGGAGAGGUGAGUGGAACUGCGAGUGUAGAGGUGAAAUUCGUAGAUAUUCGCAAGAACACCAGUGGCGAAGGCGGCUCACUGGCCCGGUACUGACGCUGAGGUGCGAAAGCGUGGGGAGCAAACA